CCACUUUGCUUCCUCUGCUGAAAUGAUCAAUAGCUGCCUUUAAGAAGGAUGAUCUGAGAGUCUGCAUGACAGACAGAGUCUUCCUCCCCAGGAUAAAGAGAAGGGCCAAGCUCUGAGCUGCAGAGCUGGAACAGCUCAAGUGACUUAAUGUCAGACAGGAACUGUCUCAGAGGGGAAGAACUGCAAACCUCCACUGCUUUGGAGAGGCUGAAAGUCCAAGGGCUGAGAUGAGAGGGCACCUGCACAGACCAUAAAGAAGAGUUCUCCAAAGGAAGAUGACCCCUUAGAAGGGAUAUUCCUGGGGGAAGUUGGAUGACAGCAGUACUGGAUACUCCUGGGGAACCUCAGAGGUGCAAAGGCAAAAGCCAAGGAGGCUUUAGCUCUACCCAUGAAAAAAUUGAGGGUUUAAAGUGAGGAAUCUCCUGCAGUUUUGUGUUAUUCUGUUUCAGAGGGAAAACGAAGAGCAGACUCCUGCUAGUACUUCAUACAACCUGCCUCAGAAAAUUUUAAGGCCAGGCUAGAAGCAGGCCUAAAAUCCCAUGGGACUCAGAAUCACAGCACAUCAGGAGGAAAUCAAUGGACAUGUAACAUUUUAUACUGAAAACCUAGAGUAAAUCAAGAAGAAACAACAAAAAAAAACGGGCACCAUGGAAACUGCUUUCUUUCACCACCCCUCAACAAGAACAACUUUUUACUGCAUGUGCUUUUAUAGGAAACAUCUUCCAACCAGGAAGAUCUUAAAAGCCAAAGAAUGGUACUUUAUCUUUCAAGAGCAGCAAGUUAGUUUUCCCAAGACCAUCAGCAAAUUUGUCCUAAAAGAAAAGGAGCAAAUUUAAAGUAAUUCUCGU
This is a long non-coding RNA of Passer domesticus (house sparrow), 848 nucleotides long. RefSeq lists it as uncharacterized. NCBI's taxonomy places the organism in Eukaryota, Metazoa, Chordata, Aves, Passeriformes, Passeridae. The transcript has 3 exons. The record is from RefSeq and is a predicted model, not a curated record.